UACCCCAGCUGCUCCGACCUCUUUCACCACAAGCGCGACUUGCCCGCCGCCAUGCUCCACCGGCCGCGGCUGCACGUGGGGCCCUGGUGCGACGAGCUCAAGUAGGCCUGGGCCUGCGGGAAGUGGCCGUGGUUCGAGCCGACGCCGCUUCCACCUACACCUCGAACACACCAGGAGUAUCGUUGAAUGUUAGGUUGUUUUCUACUUCAGUGACUUAAGAGGCGUUCAAGUACGGACUGAGACGAGAUGUUGUAUUUAGAGACGAGUCAGUAGUGGUGGCUUCCGGACCCUUUAUGGUUUCUACCAAAGGUAAGGUAGGUCUUCUCCUACCGACCCAAGGUACGAAGGGUCACACCGAAGACGUGAGGACCGUACACGUACAGAUAAAAGUGGAGAGAACGGUUACGGCUGUUUAGGUUCUUCGGACUCGGUGUCUUUCCCAAGAGUUUCAACUGCCACAGGCUUCGUCUUUCCCGCAAGAGUCCGUUGUACACAUCUACAUGGCCAAUGUCCGGUUAACAGCUGCGGACGUUUUCAAAACGAAGUCUACAACUGGACCUCCUAAACCCGGAGUUACAUAAGACCUUCUUUCCGCUAUUCGUGCGGCUGCAAUCGUUCAACGGUCGAAUGUGAGAACCACCACCUCAGACGUGAAAGGGCCUGAAGGACUUUAGGCUCUAUUUUAGAAGUGAAGUAGUAGAUUUACUACUAAGCCUACAAUGCUAGAGGUCCCUCCCAACCAUAGUAGGAUUUUCGUAGCUCGUUAUAAUACUAAACGACUUGAGACCGAACAAGUCACUGACGGGUCAAUUUCACCAACAGCGCUUGUGUUCAAGACCACACUUCCCUAUGUUCCUAGUCCUAGAUAUACUGUUCAUAUAACUGUAGCCACUGUAAGGUCUCGAAAGUCGAUAAACCUUCUUUCUGCCACCGUAACUUUAACCUCGUCGAUGUGGUUAAAGAUUCUGGUAGCUCUAUGAACUCGUUCUUCGGCCCAGAUUUAGUAGAGGUUUACCUUCACAUCAAAAGUCUUUUGAGCGGCUCGUGUACUCGUUCCAUCGGUGUGGCAAACAGGCAUUGUGUCGUUCGUAACCACCCUUGUAUUAAGAUCGUGUCUUUAUGGGAAAAGGGAGCCUGUAGCGCUGGUAUGAAGAGCCACGACGAAGUUGACAAGCAGAAGUCCAAAUAAGUGUUUGUGAUCUCCAAUGAAAGCUUCUCAAAGACCUCGUCGGAGGAUCACUGGGGUCAUGUAACGAGGACUCGUAUAAAUAAGGUGUAACCCGAAGUCUAAGAGUCUUUCUUUCAUUCCACUAGAAGCUUUGAAUGGCUCGUCGCGGCGCGGGAGAACCGUUACGCCAAAGUAUAUAAUUGAGACGUUACGACCCGGUACAGAGGGUCUUUAGCAGACCACUAGAACACGACUCAUUGGAUGCGUACCGGAAACCACGGAUACCCUGCCUUGUACGAUAAUCUCGUUGUUUUCAACUUGUUGUGGACUUGCCUUUUCACGAGCGAGGUAGACAACACGAGCUUCGUCAAGUCAAUGAAUCUCUUUGUCAACAUGGUUACCUUCCUUGUAGUGUACGACUUAUGUCUCAGUCACACCGACAACGUAAAGAGAAGUCAAAGGACAGAGGUAAACGAUUUCCUUAGUUUCCCGGACCUUUUUUAGGUUCGUAACCAAGACGAUCAAGAAGUCUAUGUCUACUAGGGACAUUGGAAGGUAACAGAAGUGCAGCUCUGUGUCAAAGGUCACCACUAGUAUUUGGUCAACCGCUCGGCUAAUUUUUCAUACGUCAACUCGAAGUUCGAAGACCCCUCCGUCAUAUACAUCUACUAUAAGGACGAGGUUUUUUAACGGAGAUACCUCUCAAAUAAAUGUCGUGUGUCGGAGAACGUAUACAGUUCUUAUAGUUUAAGUUCGGAAGAAAUCGUAGUCUCUUCCAGGAGUGUCAACAAAGGCGCUUCCUAUAAGGUUCACCUCCCGUUUUAUAACCUAGUUCGAAGUACAAACCCCUGCUUGGUGAAAAACCAAGAGGUCAACGACUCAUACGACCUGUUCGAGAACCACAGCACUAACGUCUCUGAGUCUCUAUACGGUUGAACCGUCCGUUUGUCCAGCAACAACUUAUACUGUGUUUUCUAAACUUCGGCGGGUAGAAUUGACAUCUUGUCCGUCAUGUCUUGUUAUCAAUAAAGCUUCAAGGAGGACCCUUCAUAGGUUUUGUUCAACCACUAAAGAGCUUCCCGUACCGUCUUCGACUAGUGUUCUAGGAGAGUUGUCUUCACUUUGAACGGAGAGUCAUGAUGAAGAUGUACCUUUGUGUUUGUCGUGACCGCUAAGGUCUACUUCUAUUGUGAUAACACCAGAUGUCAAGUAGUGUUAUGGGACUCGAACGUGUCUUACAGUAUCGCUCCACGGAGCCGUAAGGUAAGUCGUUACACGCACAAUAAUGUUCUUCCCAACCUCCUCCGAAACCGCCCUUCCGUAAGUCUAGUAAGUGACAUCGUUGCCGUCGACGUGAAACACGGAAGUUCAAUGUAGCAGGUCACGCCUACAUAGAGUUGGCGUCAUGACUGUACUAGUACUAGCCACCAGCCGUGGGGUAUUUUCGUAUAAUGUGACAACCAAAGUUCAGGUUACCCUCUUAGUGUCGGAACGUGGACCUGUAAGAGUAGUUGCGACCCUAAAGAGGUCUACGCUCGGGGGAUUACGGACUGUGAUACUACAGUCCGGACUUCUUUAUGUUGACCCCACGAGAGAGCAAACUGUAGUUCCAGACAUUCUGUUUGUUGUGUAGGUUCAGUCAUUACGCACGAGGACCUCUAUGCGUUCCGAGAAAAUAACGACUUCGGUAGUAGCUCGUACAGCGAAGUCACGACAGCGAACUACGAUUAUAACAGUCCGUCUUCUUAAAGGUGUGGAUACUGUCAGAACACGACAAGAUAGGUCUUUCGCGUCCGCUUCGUAGCUGCAUGUGUAACGUAAGAUAAAAGUUAUCUAAUGAGUGCUGCAGUUCGAUGCACGUAGCUCGACUUAGGUAGUUCGUAAAAUUGUUGGCGUUGUUCACCGCCUUCUCCCCAUAGAGAACACGCGGGGAGUAGAAGUUCCACCGUGGUUCCGGUCGAGGACCUUCUCAAAGACACGAGUUGCUACCAAGGUAACACCAACUCCAACCUCCACAACUCCAACCCGUCCCUGACACCUGGUUUCAUGUCGUCUACUGCCAAAAGCGCAACCCUGUCAAUACCGGACUACCUAGACUUACGGAAGAACUAUCUCACGCAGAAGAAGUCCGACUGUGCGACUUGAACUAGGUUCCAUCUGAGUGACGACCGUCGUGAAGCAGACUUAGAUCGACACGUCGUUGGGAACUCCGGACGUUGUACGACCAACUGUCUAAUUUCGGUCAGUACUUCUUCGAGUUCGUCGUUAGGCGACCACGACAAAGUACCCUACGAAACUAACGAGUCCCGGUAAUUCCUAUUACAAUUAAACAGGAGUUCACGUAUGACCCAUGGACCGGUUCUUAGGUCGUGGAUAGACUUGAUACCUCGACGAUAUUCACUCCAUCUCUAACUACAAGAAUGUCCUCGAUAAUGAAAUGAAGCCUCGCUGGAACACAUACUGACACCUUUCUCGAACUUGGGACGUCACCUGAACCCGGUCUAACUUCCCAGGAAGUAUGUUCCUUAACCAAAGAAGUAUUUGCUUCUUGUGCUUUGUUUACGGCUACCUGACCAACACUCACUGUCGUGUACCCAGAUGUUCUAGGGCUCGCACCUGUGGUAGGGCUUCGUCAAGUUGCGACUCCACGAGUCGUGACCCAUGGUAUUCUUGGCGCAAGAAAGUAGUUUCCGGAGACCCCUUGGACGGCACCAAGAACGUCGUAGGCAGGUAACACGUCACUCUCUUCGGUAGGCUCGCCGCUCCUUCCUCAAACCUUCGAGUGUCGAUUGCAAGGUUGAGCUGCAGGGACGUGGCUACUGGGUGCACUUCCUUUACACACCAAACCUGUAGCAGCUGUUCAUGAACCUUUCGGAUAGACGUGUAGUCAGAGCUCGAAGACGCACUACGUUCUUACCCCAUGACAGUUGGCCUUCCUCACCACACCAAACAAGCACAACACAUUGGAACUUACCAUGACAUUUAACGUAUGUACUACAAGCUUUACAAACAUUCUAAGUCACGACACGAACCUGUCAAAGCGUUAUUAAUACCCAACCCUAA
RNAcentral lists this ribosomal RNA (4231 nucleotides) under Triticum aestivum (bread wheat). RNAcentral's name for it is "partial small subunit ribosomal RNA". Lineage: Eukaryota; Viridiplantae; Streptophyta; Magnoliopsida; Poales; Poaceae. The record is from RNAcentral.